UAAUAGUACAUUAUUGCAGAGGCCGGGAAAGGACAAUUCGUGGAUGAUCCGACAAAGAAGACGAAUCCACGAAUUGCUAUUCCUGCCGAGGCAUAUAUAGUGCUUUUCUCCAAACAUGCGAGGAAAUAAGGUAAAAUAAUAAUAAUUUAAGCAUCAAGCAUCACUCAAAUCGAACCUCCACAUCAAAAAUGUCAAAACCAAUUUCCCUCUUUAAUUAAU
Molecule: long non-coding RNA, 219 nt
Organism: Cydia amplana
Lineage: Eukaryota; Metazoa; Arthropoda; Insecta; Lepidoptera; Tortricidae
Exons: 2
Source: RefSeq, a predicted model, not a curated record